RNAcentral lists this long non-coding RNA (330 nucleotides) under Nicotiana benthamiana. Its description in RNAcentral is "long non-coding RNA (NBEN_LNC038797)". The record is from RNAcentral. Lineage: Eukaryota; Viridiplantae; Streptophyta; Magnoliopsida; Solanales; Solanaceae.
GCUAUCAGCUAUUUGAGAUGACACAGAAGAAAUUAACCAUGACAUAACUAGCAUGUUACAUCAAUCCCACAACCUCUGUUGGCUCACAUUAUUACUAGGUCGGGAAAAGGAACCAUCAAUGAAAUAAAUUUUAUUUUUAGCAGAUAAAGCCAUAGUCAUCUUACGUUUCCAACCUCCAUAACCACUACCUGAGAAAGGAGUGGGAACAAGGCAUGCACCAGGCACAUCAGAAGAAUGUACAAACAAAGGACUGGAAGGAUCGAUAGAACCAGAGUUACCACCAGAACCACCAGCAUUCAUGUUAGCAGCCAUGCUCAAAUGAAUUAAANN